UGGGGAAUUUUGGACAAUGGGCGCAAGCCUGAUCCAGCCAUGCCGCGUGAGUGAAGAAGGCCUGGUUGUAAGCUCUUUCGGCCGGGAAGAAAUCGUGUUCUCUAACAUAGGACAUGGAUGACGGUACCGGACUAAGAAGCACCGGCUAACUACGUGCC
Molecule: ribosomal RNA, 158 nt
Filed under: uncultured bacterium
Lineage: Bacteria
Description: partial 16S ribosomal RNA
Rfam family: Bacterial small subunit ribosomal RNA
Source: RNAcentral